GACGAACGCUGGCGGCGUGCUUACCCCAUGCAAUUCGAACGGAAACGCCCUUCUUUCUUCGGGUGCUCGGGUGGCGAACGGGUGGGUCACCCGUGAGUACCCUGCCCUUGACUUUGGGAUAACUUCAGGGAACUGGGGCUACUACCGGAUACGCGCCCCUGCUGCAUGGUGGCGGCUGGACAGUUUCGGCGGUUGCUGAUGGACUCGCGGCCUAUCAGCCUGUUGGUGGGGUAGUGGCUUACCAAGCCUGUAACGGGUAGCCUGCCUGAGUGGGGGAGCGGCCACGCUGGGACUGAGAUGCGGCCCAGACUGCUACGGGAGGCAGCAGUGGGGAAGAUGGCACAAUGGGCGGGAGCAGGAUGCAGCAACGCCACGAGCGGGAUGAAGGCCUUCGGGUUGUAAACGGCUUUCGCCGGUGACGAAGAGGGAGGGACGGUAAUUGGUAAAGAAGCACCGGAGAACUACGUG
RNAcentral lists this ribosomal RNA (468 nucleotides) under uncultured bacterium. RNAcentral describes it as "partial 16S ribosomal RNA". It matches the Rfam family "Bacterial small subunit ribosomal RNA", at positions 28 to 507 of the family's 1533-position model. The record is from RNAcentral.